RNAcentral lists this ribosomal RNA (425 nucleotides) under uncultured bacterium. Its description in RNAcentral is "bacterial SSU rRNA". It matches the Rfam family "Bacterial small subunit ribosomal RNA", at positions 354 to 796 of the family's 1533-position model. The record is from RNAcentral.
GUGGGGAAUAUUGGACAAUGGGGGCAACCCUGAUCCAGCAAUGCCGCGUGAGUGAUGAAGGCCUUAGGGUUGUAAAGCUCUUUCGCACGCGACGAUGAUGACGGUAGCGUGAGAAGAAGCCCCGGCUAACUUCGUGCCAGCAGCCGCGGUAAUACGAAGGGGGCGAGCGUUGUUCGGAAUUACUGGGCGUAAAGGGCGCGUAGGCGGCCCGAUCAGUCAGAUGUGAAAGCCCCGGGCUCAACCUGGGAACUGCAUUUGAUACUGUCGGGCUUGAGUUCCGGAGAGGAUGGUGGAAUUCCCAGUGUAGAGGUGAAAUUCGUAGAUAUUGGGAAGAACACCGGUGGCGAAGGCGGCCAUCUGGACGGACACUGACGCUGAGGCGCGAAAGCGUGGGGAGCAAACAGGAUUAGAAACCCGAGUAGUCC